This is a long non-coding RNA of Cyanistes caeruleus (blue tit), 2279 nucleotides long. RefSeq lists it as uncharacterized. NCBI's taxonomy places the organism in Eukaryota, Metazoa, Chordata, Aves, Passeriformes, Paridae. The record is from RefSeq and is a predicted model, not a curated record.
GGCCCCACCGCACGCUGAGGGCCCGACCCGGGGCGGCCGCCUCCCGCUCUUUGUGACACAGAGGGGAAAGAGAAGGGACCUGUUGAAACUCAUUCACCUCCCUUACUCGGUGCAGCGAUUCCACUCUGCUUUAGAGCACUGGCUUCAAGGGGAGGAGGUCUCUCCGCAUCCGCUGGCAAUGGCUGAAAGUCAGCAGCUAGCACUGCACAGGCAGCUCUCUCUCUCAGGGAAAAGCAGCGAGCCUGCCAUGAAAGCCAGGCUCACACACGGUGCCCAGCGCCUCUGUGAGCUCCGUGCCCCGGGACGCGCCCCUUCCCUCGCCCUCACCGAGCUCUCCCGCGCCGCUGCUCCUGAGGGCCGCCCGAACACCUGCAGCUCCCGACAAACACUGAUCCCACAGUGUCAAAACCCAGAGGAAUGGAAACAGCAAAGAACCACCAGCUUUUGCCAAUCCACGCAAGACUUAGACCAUUAAGCUUAAAAACACAGCAAGCUGUACUUGCCAUGACUCCCAGAGCGAUGCCAGGAGUGCUACAAAGCCUUGCCGAGACCACCAGAUGGUGCUAAUGCUUCGCUCUCAAUUUAAUCCCGCCACCGCUCCUCUUGCAGAAACUUUAUUGCAAUUGACAGUAGCAGAGAGGAUUUAUCAAUCAAGCAGGGAUGGCACCCCAUUCUUGCAAAGAUGGCCAUGGAAAAACCUGUGUCUAACAACACGUACCUGACAGAGGGCAACAAUUCUGCUGUUAUUACAGGGCCAAAUAUGAGUGGGAAAUCAACAUCCCUGAAAAAGAUGACUGUCUGUCAAGUUAUGGCACAGACUGGUGUUUACAGUGAUUGCUACACAUGUCCUGGAACUGUCAUACAAACACUUUAUAUCCCAGCUUGGAAAACUACCAUUUUGAAGUGCAACAUGUGAGAAGCAGUGCUGGAAAUAGGGAGAAAAUUGCUUACACUUCGACACUUCCUAAAGGAUACACAGAGGAAAAGAACUACGGCAACGGAUUCCACCCUGACUUACAGUCGGCAGAAGUUACACCAGAUACUAUUUCAGUUAUUAGGCACCUAACAGUAUUUUUUUCUGAUGACAGGUUUGUCUUGAGUUUGUGUCUCUCUCAAAGAGAGAGAUACAGAGAUCUGCAGAGCUAUAAUUUGUUCCAAAUAAAUUGCAUGUUUUAAGUAACCAUGUAGAGAGACAGUGGUUUCGGGUAGUAUGAAGAACUUAUGUGACAUUUCAUAAAAAAGAAAAAACAUCUUACUGAUGUUGGUACCUCCUUGAUUCAUGUCUGUCUGAAUGAGUUAGUAAUUCUGAGCAUGAGCUACUCGAGUUCAUUUCAUCUGCACUUAGGGAAGGGAAUGAAUGCUCUGGAGAGACUUAAAGAUGUUUCUGCCAUAAGCUGUGAUGUGACUGGUUAACAGCAGGUUGGCCCUUUUUGAUCAGCAAAAAGGAAUUGAGAUUCUAUAAACCAGGAGAGGAAGUUUAUGGUCUAUUAGGCUAAGACAGUUAUGAGUGGGUCUACAAAAGCAUCAAUGUUCUCUGAAAAGUGGAUUUCAUUCUCUUUUAGACUAAAUUGUAGUGUAGAUUGUACAGAUUGAUUAAUUACAGGUCAGUAAAGAAAAGAGUGAAUGAGAGAGAUUUAAAGAAAUCCAUAUGUUUCCAAAUACUAGAUUUGGAUGUUGAUUCCUUGAUUUAAUUAACGUUUAAUCAAAAGGUAAUUAGCUACACGUGACUUUUGUAAGGUAUUCGCAACCAAAGACUAGAAAAUAUUCCACUUAAUCUUCAAGUAACAGGACUUAAAAACUUUUCUUGAUCAGAAUUUCAGAAUAAGGUUGUUUAACUUGGGCAGCACGUGCUCCAUAUUAGAUGCUUCACCACCACUAACUCCAAAGAAUUGUACAUUUAGAGAGUUAGCUCUGAGAACAGGAGAUGUUUGGGAAAUCAGUGUUUGUGUCUUGGCUUUACCUUGAGCAAAUUCACGUUCUAAGAAAGGGUCCAAGGGCUUUUCACGGCCCUUUUUCAUUUUUAAACCUGCCAUAUUGAGCCACCCAAUGUGCCACAGACUUUCCAAAGGUACAAACAAAGGAAAAAGUUAAAAAAUCAUGUUGGAGCAGGAAAAAGUAUUUCCAUCUCUUUCUUACCCUGAGGAUCUGGAUGUUUAGCUGUUGGCAACAAAGAAGUUGAAAAAUGACAUCCAUAUCCACCUGGAUGUCUGGGUAUAAUUGAGAGUGUGCUUAGCAAAACCUCUAUAUUUUCUGCCAAAUUAAAAAACGGAGCCAAGAAA